RNAcentral lists this ribosomal RNA (465 nucleotides) under uncultured bacterium. Its description in RNAcentral is "partial 16S ribosomal RNA". It matches the Rfam family "Bacterial small subunit ribosomal RNA", at positions 338 to 795 of the family's 1533-position model. The record is from RNAcentral.
CCUACGGGUGGCAGCAGUAGGGAAUUUUCCACAAUGGGCGAAAGCCUGAUGGAGCAACGCCGCGUGGGUGAAGAAGGUCUUCGGAUCGUAAAACCCUGUUGUUAGAGAAGAAAGUGCGUGAGAGUAACUGUUCACGUUUCGACGGUAUCUAACCAGAAAGCCACGGCUAACUACGUGCCAGCAGCCGCGGUAAUACGUAGGUGGCAAGCGUUAUCCGGAUUUAUUGGGCGUAAAGGGAACGCAGGCGGGCUUUUAAGUCUGAUGUGAAAGCUUGCGGCUUAACCGGAGAAGUGCAUUGGAAACUGGGAGGCUUGAGUGCAGAAGAGGAAAGUGGAACUCCAAGUGUAGCGGUGAAAUGCGUAGAUAUAAGGAAGAACACCGGUGGCGAAGGCGGCUCUCUGGUCUGUAACUGACGCUGAGGUUCGAAAGCGUGGGUAGCAAACAGGAUUAGAUACCCUUGUAGUC